UUCCGGUUGAUCCUGCCGGAGGUCAUUGCUAUCGGAGUCCGAUUUAGCCAUGCUAGUCGUGCGAGUUCAUACUCGCGGCACCGAGCUCAGUAACACGUGGCCAAACUACCCUACAGAGACGGAUACCCUCGGGAAACUGAGGCUAACCCGUCAUACCGAUCUCAGGCUUGAAUCGCAGAGAUCACCAAACGCCCCGGCGCUGUAGGAUGUGGCUGCGGUUGAUUAGGUUGACGGUGGGGUAACGGCCCACCGUGCCCAUAAUCAGUACAGGUUGUGAGAGCAAGAACCUGGAGACGGAAUCUGAGACAAGAUUCCGGGCCCUACGGGGCGCAGCAGGCGCGAAACCUUUACACUGCACGCACGUGCGAUAA
RNAcentral lists this ribosomal RNA (371 nucleotides) under uncultured archaeon. Its description in RNAcentral is "bacterial SSU rRNA". It matches the Rfam family "Archaeal small subunit ribosomal RNA", at positions 1 to 373 of the family's 1478-position model. The record is from RNAcentral.